Molecule: ribosomal RNA, 532 nt
Filed under: Dichromacalles albopictus
Lineage: Eukaryota; Metazoa; Arthropoda; Insecta; Coleoptera; Curculionidae
Description: partial 16S ribosomal RNA
Rfam family: Bacterial large subunit ribosomal RNA
Source: RNAcentral
GGCUUUUUGAGAAUAAUUUAAAGUCGGGCCUGCCCAAUGACAGAGUUUAAUGGCCGCGGUAUAUUAACUGUGCAAAGGUAGCAUAAUCAUUAGUUUUUUAAUUGAAAGCUGGAAUGAAGGGUUUAAUGAAAAAAGUUCUGUCUUUAGCUAAAUUUUUUAGAAGUUUAUUUUUAAGUAAAAAAGCUUAAAUAAUUAUUGAAGACGAGAAGACCCUAUAGAGUUUAAUAUUUAAAUAAUAUAUUGUAUUUAGUAUUUUUAAGUUAUUUUUUUUAAGUAUUUAGUUGGGGUGGUUGAAAAAUUAAUAAAACUUUUUUUAUAAUAAACAUUAAUUUAUGAUUGGAUGAUCCUUUAUUUAGAUUAAAAGAAUAAAUUACCUUAGGGAUAACAGCGUGAUUUUUUUUAGAGUUCUUAUCGAAAGAAAAGAUUGCGACCUCGAUGUUGGAUUAAAAUAAAUUAUUGGUGUAGAAGCUAAUACGAUUAGGUCUGUUCGACCUUUAAAUUUUUACAUGAUCUGAGUUUAGACCGGUUUAAG